CUGGAUUCAAUCCCUAGUACCAGAAAGAGAGAAUGAGGCUGAGGAUGUAGCUCAGGGAUAGAGUGCUUUCCUAGCAUGUCUGAGGCCCUGAGUUCCAUCCCCAAUACUGAAAAAGGAGGGGAGGGAGAGGGGAAGGAAAGAACUGCAUCCACUGCUUACCAAACCGUGCUUAAAACACUGACCCACAGGAGUUUUAGAGGCUUAAAAGCCCACCCCAGGGCUACCCAGGAACUGGCUCCUCCAUCUUCCUCUUCACUCGACCAAAACCUGAAACCAUCAUUCCAGCCUCCUUUGAUGCUCCCCACGUUUAGCCCAUGAAGGAAGCAGGUGCUUCUUGUUAACCUCUAGCCUCAUCUGCAACUCUCCAUCUCCACCCUUCCUCUAUCCUCCUCUGUAGUUCAUUCUCAGAGCAGCCAAAGUGUGUUUGUUUGUUUAAUGCAAAUCAGAUCUAAUUAACAUGCUGCCUAAACCCCCAGUGGUUUACAGGAAGCACAUACAGGAGUCAACUUCACACACAAAAAGGGACAGUGGUUGCCAGUAGUUGCGGAGAGGGAGGAAUAUGGAGUCAGUGUUUCAUGGGUGCAGAAUUUUAAUUGGGG
This 599-nucleotide long non-coding RNA is filed under the name Marmota monax (woodchuck). Lineage: Eukaryota; Metazoa; Chordata; Mammalia; Rodentia; Sciuridae. The record is from RNAcentral.